Non-coding RNA from Petromyzon marinus (sea lamprey), 1367 nucleotides. The record is from RefSeq and is a predicted model, not a curated record. NCBI's taxonomy places the organism in Eukaryota, Metazoa, Chordata, Hyperoartia, Petromyzontiformes, Petromyzontidae.
AGGGGUGAGAACGAGGGUUGAGGAGGACGAGGCAAUGGGUGAGGAGGACGAGGUGAUGGGUGAGGACGAGGUGAGGAGAGCGAGGGGUUAGAGAAGGACGAGGUGAGGGUGAGGAGGAUGAGCUAAGGGGUAAAGAUGACGAGGCAAGGGGUAAAGAUGACGAGGCGAGGACGAGGUGAGGGGUGAGGAGGACGAAGUGAGGUGUGAGGAAUACGAGCUGAGGGAUGAGAAGGACGAGGUGAGGGGUGAGGAGGACGAGGCGACCCGAGCUCGAGUCCCGCUUACAGCCACCAUCACCACUGCGUCCUGGAUCUCGAGAGGUCGGUUCAGCCUUAAAUUAGUAUCUGGUACGAUGCGUACACAUCGCAACUCGGGAGAAAAAGGCAGCUGAGGGUGGUCCCGGCCACCCACACAGAACAUUUGUGAAACCCAGAGAUUAUGCGUGAAACACGUGCAGAUCAUUAGAAAAACAGGCAAAUAUCUUGUGUGAUAUCAAAUAUGGAUCAUGCGUAAAACACAUACCGAUCAUACGCAAGAAACACACACUCAGGCAAUGUAUGAAAACACACUCAUAUGCUGCUGUAGGAUACGUUGGUUCAGCAGAUGUACAGGGUGAUGGAUUACAAUGUUAAGUUUUUUUUAAAAUGGCGAUGAAGAAUAUUGUCCAUUCAUUUGCAGUCCAGCCGUACACUCAUUCAUUCACGUGCUAUCUUUUCGUCUAUGCAUCGGUCAAUCCGCAAGUCAAUUAUGCAAGAGGACUCAGUCCCCCCCUGCCCCGCCCCCCUCUGCAAGUAGUAGCAGCUCCCUGCACCACCCAGCUAACCCCACACUGCAUGCCGCGUUCUGCGCGAUGCCUCAAGUUCAAGGUCGUGUGGGUGACACAUUACCGUGGUGAUUAUUUGAAAUGUAACUUUUUAUUUUACCAGGUAAGUGAGCCAUAUAGCUCUUUUUAAGAAGCGAUCUGGUCACAAAUGUUAGUUUUAACGGAGUGGCUCAUCUUGUGGAAAUUUAUAGCAGUAAAAUACUCUAAACCAGGGGUCUCAAACUCGCGGCCCGCAGGCCAAUUGUGGCCCGCGGAACGAUAUUUUGUGGCCCACUAUUUGGCAUCAAUUAUUUAUUUAUUUAUUGUUAUUAUAUUUUUUUACCAUAGCUCAGGCUCGUGACAGCUUCCGGUGUUUGUUGACAAGUUAGCCAACGCGAAUUAGCAACGUUAGUCACUUGGUUGAAACGUGAUUCCGGAGUGACACCAAGUGGAAGGAAAAUAUAUCCUGUCACCCUGUGCAAGGUACAGAGGACUCAGGAAGUGGGCGGACUCAACAAGUGUAAUCAGUGACCUAAUAAAGACAACAGAGUGUUGCAAUAGGAAA